GACGUAGGGUGCAAGCGUUGUCCGGAUUUACUGGGCGUAAAGAGCGCGUAGGCGGUCUAGUAAGUGAGAAGUGAAAUCUCCAGGGCUCAACCCGGAAACUGCUUUUCAUACUGCCAGACUAGAGGGAUGCAGAGGUUUGUGGAAUUCCUGGUGUAGCGGUGAAAUGCGUUGAUAUCAGGAGGAACACCCAUGGCGAAGGCAGCAAACUGGGCAUCAUCUGACGCUGAGGCGCGAAAGCGUGGGUAGCAAACAGG
Molecule: ribosomal RNA, 254 nt
Filed under: uncultured bacterium
Lineage: Bacteria
Description: partial 16S ribosomal RNA
Rfam family: Bacterial small subunit ribosomal RNA
Source: RNAcentral